GGCCACAUCACGUUAAAACACUGGUUCUCGUACGAUUGCCAAAGUUAAGCAAUGUAGAGCCUUGUCAGUACCUAGAUUGGUGACCGCUUAGGAAUACAAGGUGCU
This is a non-coding RNA of Acanthosepion pharaonis, 105 nucleotides long. NCBI's taxonomy places the organism in Eukaryota, Metazoa, Mollusca, Cephalopoda, Sepiida, Sepiidae. The record is from the annotation of a GenBank genome assembly.